This 256-nucleotide ribosomal RNA is filed under the name uncultured bacterium. RNAcentral's name for it is "partial 16S ribosomal RNA". It matches the Rfam family "Bacterial small subunit ribosomal RNA", at positions 524 to 776 of the family's 1533-position model. The record is from RNAcentral.
UACGUAGGGGGCGAGCGUUGUCCGAAUUUACUGGGCGUAAAGAGCGCGUAGGCGGAUCUUUAAGUGAGUGGUGAAAGCUCGGGGCUCAACCCCGAUAGUGCCCGUUCAUACUGGGGAUUCUUGAGUGUGGGAGAGGCGAGUGGAAUUUCUGGUGUAGCGGUGAAAUGCGUAGAUAUCAGAAGGAACACCCAUGGCGAAGGCAGCUCGCUGGCCUACAACUGACGCUGAGGCGCGAAAGCUAGGGGGAGCGAACGGG